Molecule: long non-coding RNA, 4523 nt
Organism: Chinchilla lanigera (long-tailed chinchilla)
Lineage: Eukaryota; Metazoa; Chordata; Mammalia; Rodentia; Chinchillidae
Source: Ensembl
AUGAGAGGAAGGUGGCCAGUGCAUAGGGACAAGCGCCAUUCCCAGGAGGAAGCGGCCCCCAAGGCGCGGCGGGAGGAGGCUCGCUGUGGGGCUGGGAGGACCCGGGUCUGGAGGCGCGCUGUGGGGCUGGGAGGNCCCGGGUCUGGAGGCGCGCUGUGGGGCUGGGAGGACCCGGGUCUGGCUGGAGGAGAAGGCAGAUGGAGAGGGAGCCGGGCGGGGCGGUGGCUGAUGCUCAGGGAAGCUGUGAGCUACAGAAGGCCGCCAAGGCUUCUGCGCCCGUGCUCUCGUGAGGAAGAAUCGAGUGAGGAAGGAAAAUGGGAGCAGGCGGGGAGAUGCAGGGACCAAGCCGCGGGACCAGCACGGUGAAGGUGAGCCCCACAAUGGGCGAAAUAAGAGUAGGAAUCACAGGAACUCUGCUUUUACAGGUGAGUAACACAACGGGCACCAAAAGGAAACGGGGGCGCUGAACAGUGUCCUGCCUGCCUCCGUCGUGAGGCCUUUUUCUCCUGGGCGCGCGGCUGCUCAGCGGCCUCACAGUCUCCACACCGAUGGCCAAGCUCGCAAGCCGCGCUGCAGGCGUCCUGGGUGCCGGCUCCGGCCUCUGUGGCCACAGCCUGCACGAAUGCCAGCAGGACAGGCGCGUCAGGACCAGGUCAUCGCAGCUGAGUGUGCCGGGGGCCUCCUCUUCCAGCUUGCCGGCCUCUAACCACGCCUCAACUUACCUUCGGCCUGCUCUGGAACCCGGCUCCGCGGACCCAGCAAGCGGUGAGGCUUCCCCUGUGGGAUCCCAGCGCUGAGUCCCCCCUCAGCCCUGCGGGCAGGGCGCUGUGCUCCGCCGGUCGGGCUCUCCAGCCACGCCAGGGGCGCAGGAGAGGCCCUCCCCCCACUUCACUCCCGCUGUUCAGCAACGAGCGCUGUCCCACGCGUCACACACACAGACGUCUCCGUGGAAGGAGCUGAGACUCCGCCCACCGGGACGGAAGAGAGGUUCUAGUAGGACUAGAACUUGUUUCCCAAACCCUCACUUAGAAUAUUUUGCAAGGACUUAUGUUUCAAACAGCGAGCAAAACAGCUGCAAUUUAACUUAGUGCUUUCCAUCCUGCUAAACUCCCCACGAUAAAACAAACUCUGGGUGCCAAAUGUGGCCCAAGCUUUUGGCUGAGAUGACUUCCUCAAGUGUUUUGAGGGGUUACUCAACUUUGGGGUUUGAACCGAACAAAAAUUAAAAGUUCAAAAUGGUAUCCUCAAGAUUCCUGAGGGACCCUGUGCAACCCGCCUCCCAGGGGAAACGCACGUGCGGGGAAUGACGGCACGUGGGAGGCGGCCCGCUGCGCGCUCAGCCAGGUGCCUCUAACAGCUGCAGAACACAGCACCUGCACUAGGCCUGUGGACAUGCACAGUGCUCGGCGAUCGGUGUCUGAGUUACCUUCAUGUGCCCGCUUCACCUGAGCAACACCAUAUCCCUGUGAGGCCGAGGCAUCGUUACCCCUAUUUUAUGGGACAAGGAUUCAGAGGCUAAACAAGGAAUGUGCCAAUGUUCCCAGCCCCAUGGCAGUCCUGGGGAUUGAACCCCAGGGCCUUUGCACUGAGCUACAUCCCAGCCUUUUUUUUUUUUUUUUUUUUUUUUUUUUUUUUUUUUUUUUUUUUNNNNNNNNNNNNNNNNNNNNNNNNNNNNNNNNNNNNNNNNNNNNNNNNNNNNNNNNNNNNNNNNNNNNNNNNNNNNNNNNNNNNNNNNNNNNNNNNNNNNGCUGAGCUAAAUCCCCAGCCCCUGAGCCUUUUUUAUUCUAAGCAGGGUCUCACUAAAUUCUUAAAUUGUUCAAGCUGGGCUUGAACUUGUGAUCUUCCUGCCUCAGCUUCCCAGAGGGCCAGGAUUACAGGUAUGUGCCACCUCCUCUUCCCUCAGUUCCCUCCUGAAGUGGUGAUUCUGCCUUGUCCUUUUCAUUUCUGUCUGCCAGGUGGCAGGGAAUUGAAGCUUUACACAAUUUCAAGUGCCCUCUUAAAACAAAAGACUGCGAACCAUUCAUAUAAAGCUAGGGGUGAAAUGUAACUCUGAGGUGGAAUGUGGGGUAACUCUCUUCGUCUUCUUUUUGUUUGGUUGGUUUUUUUUUUUUUUUUUUUUUUGGUACUGGGGAUCAAACUCAGGACCUUGUGCUUGGCAGGCAGGCACUUGUGCCGCUGAGCUACAUCCCCAGCCUGUCACUUCGUCUUCUGAACCUGUCUGGUCAGCAGGGAUUCCACUGUCCCCUCCUGACUCGUGAGAAGCUGAGCUGUGGUGUCAGAUUCCUCUUUCCUUAAUUCUCUCUCAGCUGCGGUCAGAGUCCUCUCAGGUUCUGUCCUGAGGGGCACCCUAGUGCCUACCCCUCAACCUGGACAGCACAGUGGGAGGGAGACCCACGUGCUUCCCCAGACUCAAGGAUGAGACCCACCCAGAAACCACAGCCUGCAGGUUGCCACAGCAGUGGGGCCAGAGCACCCCAAGCCGCUCCCCCGAGCUACGCACGCAUGACUCUGUGACACCGUGUAGAGGCCAUGAUCUUCAAAGCCGUCUUCUUGCCCUGUCUGGGGUGCUGGGGCAUCCCACACCUACACGCAGGGCCUCAGUUCCUCGGCAGCAAGGCUGACACAGAGGUGGCUGGGUCUCGAGAGGUCUCUCACCCUAAUGACUGAACACGGGGUCCGCUGGUGUUGAGCAGGUAACGGUCCCCAGAUAUAAUUUAAGACAACCCCAUCAUCAGUUCAGCCACGACUCCACUUCCUGCUAAGUAAAUCCAUAUGGAUACAGUGGUGCCUCAGAUUAUAAACUUUAUUUGUUUUAUGACUUGGGGGAAGAUGGCUGCAUUUGUGUUUGUGUGGAGAAGACAGCUGUGGUUGCAUUUGUCAUCCGAUGCAGAGUUUGUGUGUGAAAGCAAAAUUUUGCCAAACACUUUCGUUUGCAAACAGAAGUGUUCGUGAACUGAGGCGUUUCUGCAUGGUGCGUGUGUGUAUGUGUGUGUGUGUGUGUGUGUGUGUGUGUGUGUGUGUGUGUAAAACUGGGACACUGUGUGCAGAAAUAGAAGCACUGCAAAGACCCUUCGCAGCCACGGGAAGUGUAAGGAGGUAAAGCAGCCCUUGCAAAUGCAUCCAUAACUGGAUGACAAAACUGAUCUAAUAAUAGCACAUUUGGAGUUGUGCAAGGGACUGCCAACUUUCUGAAGAGUGUCUGAAGAAGUUCUUAAAUUUCUUCCUUAUGGUACCACAUUUUUCAUAUCUCAUGUCCUUUCUUCCAGACAGUUAAGAAGCUCUCCUGUCAUAAACAGGAUGAUUCUUUGCAUGGGUGUGGAUGUCAUCCCUGGUAGCAAGAGUCAUCAGAAACAGUUUGAAAUGACCUUGGAAAACCAUCACCUGGUAGAAAGAAGAGCUUUUUUUUUUUUUUUAGCACAAUUGCAUAUGGUUCUGUUAUUGCACUAACCUAGUGCCCUUGAAUUUUAAGUAUUUGUAUUAAAACCAUUGCAGUAUUUUAACAGGGAUGUGUGUUUGAGGUUUUUAAGGUAACAGAUAUAAAUAUGGAGGUCUUAGAGUCUUCUCUUAAAGAAAAGAAUAAUAUUGAAGAGAAAAUUUAUAUCCUCUGAUGCAUGUAAAUGAAAAUAUAUAAUAUAAAUAAAUUAAAUGUGAAGAAUAGACUUUAAAGUGUUUUCUCUACAACGGAAUAUGCUUGUUUCUAUAAACAUGGGAAGUGGCAUUAAUGAAUCCUCCCCCUUCUCAAUAUUUCAAUUCAUUUAGAAUUUAUUUCACAAUAACAUUUUGCUCUUUCAAAAAAGAGAAAGUAUGUACUAGCUUUUCUUGCUCACACACCUUCAAGUAAAGAAUGCUAUUAUGAUUUAUGAUAGAAUACAAUCCAUCCCAUUUAUCAAAAUGGCAAAAUGAAAUAUACUUGGGCAUUUCUGCAUCAGAAUUUUAAAUACUUCUCUUUGUGUAGGUGGAAAGUGGAAACUCAUUCAUUGCUUCACUUACUCAGUAAGUAUUUCACUUGCCCUAUGUCAGGUCCGAGGUGCUGGGUGUGUGAGACAACAUCCCGCCUUCACUGAACCUAAAUUUGGGUGGAAUUCCCUCCUUGGGGAGAGAGAGCCCUAGGGAUUAUGGGGACUGAAACCAAUGGUGAUACUAAGCUACACCUCCAGCCUUUUUUAUUAGCUUUUUGAGACAGGGACUUGCCAAGUUGCUGAAUUCCUCAGGGUGGGCUCAAACUUGCCAUCCUUCUGUCUCAGCCUCCCAGAGUGCUGGGAUUACAGGCGUGCACCACUAUACCUGCUAAGUGGAAUUGCUAAAGGCCUUCAAUGGUAUUUAGCAAAACACUUGGAUAUAUUUGUCUAAUUUACCUUUCAAAUAGGAAACACAUUUAGAACUUAUUCUCAGCUUUACAAUAUCAGUGUUAGAAAAUGGGAGAAACAAAAUACUUAUUUAAGGAACAACAUCGUGAAUAUGAAAGCUACUCACGGGUUAAAAUAACAAUCUUGCAAGACCUUGACCUCCAUCACUCGAGCGGG